RNAcentral lists this ribosomal RNA (2817 nucleotides) under Merismopedia sp. SIO2A8. RNAcentral describes it as "23S ribosomal RNA". It matches the Rfam family "Bacterial large subunit ribosomal RNA". Lineage: Bacteria; Bacillati; Cyanobacteriota; Cyanophyceae; Synechococcales; Merismopediaceae. The record is from RNAcentral. RNAcentral also lists the same sequence under 1 other name.
AGGUCAAGUUAAGAAGGGCUUAUGGUGGAUACCUAGGCACACAGAGGCGAAGAAGGACGUGGUUACCGACGAAACGCUUCGGGGAGCUGGAAACGCGCGUUGAUCCGAAGAUAUCCGAAUGGGGCAACCCUUAUACUGCUAUUUGAAUAUAUAGGAUAGUAGAGCGAACGCAGCGAAUUGAAACAUCUUAGUAGCUGUAGGAAGAGAAAGAAACCUCGAUUCCCCUAGUAGCGGCGAGCGAAGCGGGAAGAGCCUAAACCAAUCUUAUUAAAGGUUGGGGUUGUGGGACAGCGUUGUGGAAUACCGGAUGCUAGACGAAGGAGUUGAUUGCUCCACCAGAGAAGGUGAAAGUCCUGUAGUCGAAAGUAGAAGGAUACUAGCUGAAUCCCGAGUAGCAUGGGGCACGUGGAAUCCCGUGUGAAUCCUCGAGGACCACCUCGAAAGGCUAAAUACUCCUGUGUGACCGAUAGAGAACAAGUACCGCGAGGGAACGGUGAAAAGAACCCCAGGAGGGGAGUGAAAUAGAACAUGAAACCAUAAGCUUACAAGCAGUCGGAGUCCGAUUAAACGGAUGACGGCGUGCCUGUUGAAGAAUGAGCCGGCGACUUAUAGGCACUGGCAGGUUAAGUCGGGAAUGACGAAGCCCCAGGGAAACCGAGUCUGAAAAGGGCGUUAGUCAGUGUUUAUAGACCCGAACCCGGGUGAUCUAACCAUGUCCAGGUUGAAGCUUGGGUAACACCAAGUGGAGGACCGAACCGACUUCUGUUGAAAAAGGAGCGGAUGAGGUGUGGUUAGGGGUGAAAUGCCAAUCGAACCCGGAGCUAGCUGGUUCUCCCCGAAAUGUGUUUAGGCGCAGCGGUAAUGAUUAUAGCUGGGGGGUAAAGCACUGUUUCGGUGCGGGCUGCGAGAGCGGUACCAAAUCGAGACAAACUCAGAAUACCCAGUGUACACGUUGCCAGUCAGACGGUGGGGGAUAAGCUUCAUCGUCAAGAGGGAAACAGCCCAGACCACCCGCUAAGGUCCCCAAAUUGGUGCUCAGUGAUAAAGGAGGUGGGAGUGCAGAGACAACCAGGAGGUUUGCCUAGAAGCAGCCAUCCUUGAAAGAGUGCGUAAUAGCUCACUGGUCAAGCGCUCCUGCGCCGAAAAUGAACGGGGCUAAGCACUGUACCGAAGCGGUGGGAUUUGAAUAUAAAUCGGUAGGGGAGCGUUCCGUGAUAGUAAGAAGCAAUAGCGGAAGCAGUUGUGGACGAAGCGGAAGUGAGAAUGUCGGCUUGAGUAGCGAAAAUAUGGGUGAGAAUCCCAUACCCCGAAAACCUAAGGGUUCCUCCGGAAGGCUCGUCCGCGGAGGGUUAGUCGGGACCUAAGGCGAGGCCGAAAGGCGUAGUCGAUGGACACAGGGUGAAUAGUCCCUGACUCUGAAUAUGGAGUGUAUAGAAGGACGCAUGAGAGCUAGCCAAACCCUGAGUGGAUUGGGAGGGGACUACGGUCCCUGAUUGGUGAAGGGUAGUGCCAAGAAAAGUUUUAUGCAUGAUGAAGUAUUGAGACCCGUACCCUAAACCGACACAGGUAGGUGGGUAGAGAAUACUAAGGGGCGCGAGGUAACUCUCUCUAAGGAACUCGGCAAAAUGGCCCCGUAACUUCGGGAGAAGGGGUACUAGCGCGAGCUAGUCGCAGUGAAUAGGCCCAGGCGACUGUUUACCAAAAACACAGGUCUCUGCCAACUCGAAAGAGGACGUAUAGGGGCUGACGCCUGCCCAGUGCCGGAAGGUUAAGGAAGUCGGUUAGAUUCGUCGAAGCUGACGACUGAAGCCCCGGUGAACGGCGGCCGUAACUAUAACGGUCCUAAGGUAGCGAAAUUCCUUGUCGGGUAAGUUCCGACCCGCACGAAAGGCGUAACGAUCUGGGCGCUGUCUCGGAGAGAGGCUCGGCGAAAUAGGAAUGUCUGUGAAGAUACGGACUACCUGCACCUGGACAGAAAGACCCUAUGAAGCUUUACUGUAGCUUGGAAUUGGGUUCGGGCUUUGCUUGCGCAGGAUAGGUGGGAGACAAUGAUUUAAUCCUUGUGGGGAUUGAGGAGUCAAUGGUGAGAUACCACUCUGGCAAGGCUAGAAUUCUAACUAUGACCCGUGAGCCGGGCAUGGAACAGUUUCAGGUGGGCAGUUUGACUGGGGCGGUCGCCUCCUAAAGUGUAACGGAGGCGCGCAAAGGUUCCCUCAGGCUGGUUGGAAAUCAGCCGUAGAGUGUAAAGGCAUAAGGGAGCUUGACUGCGAGAGUGACAACUCGAGCAGGGUGGAAACACGGCCUUAGUGAUCCGACGGUUCUGCGUGGAAGGGCCGUCGCUCAACGGAUAAAAGUUACUCUAGGGAUAACAGGCUGAUCUCCCCCAAGAGUUCACAUCGACGGGGAGGUUUGGCACCUCGAUGUCGGCUCAUCGCAACCUGGGGCUGAAGUAGGUCCCAAGGGUUGGGCUGUUCGCCCAUUAAAGCGGUACGUGAGCUGGGUUCAGAACGUCGUGAGACAGUUCGGUCCAUAUCCGGUGUGGGCGUAAGAGUAUUGAGAGGAGUCUUCCCUAGUACGAGAGGACCGGGAAGAACGCACCUCUGGUGUACCUGUUAUCGUGCCAACGGUAGACGCAGGGUAGCUAAGUGCGGAGUGGAUAACCGCUGAAAGCAUCUAAGUGGGAAGCCCACCUCAAGAUGAGUACUCUCACUGAGUAGUCAGGUAAGGUCACGGGAAGACGACCCGUUGAUAGGUUCUAAGUGGACGUGCAGUGAUGUAUGAAGCUGAGGAAUACUAACAGACCGAGGGCUUGACCUU